UGGGGAAUAUUGCGCAAUGGGGGAAACCCUGACGCAGCGACGCCGCGUGCGGGAUGAAGGCCUUCGGGUUGUAAACCGCUUUUGAUUGGGAGCAAGCUUUCGGGUGAGUGUACCUUUCGAAUAAGCGCCGGCUAACUACGUGCCAGCAGCCGCGGUAAUACGUAGGGCGCAAGCGUUAUCCGGAAUUAUUGGGCGUAAAGGGUACGCAGGCGGUUUAAUAAGUCGAAUGUUAAAGAUCGGGGCUCAACCCCGUAAAGCAUUGGAAACUGAUAAACUUGAGUAGUGGAGAGGAAAGUGGAAUUCCUAGUGUAGUGGUGAAAUACGUAGAUAUUAGGAGGAAUACCAGUAGCGAAGGCGACUUUCUGGACACAAACUGACGCUGAGGUACGAAAGCGUGGGGAGCAAACAGG
RNAcentral lists this ribosomal RNA (410 nucleotides) under Bacteroidota bacterium. RNAcentral's name for it is "Bacteroidetes bacterium partial 16S ribosomal RNA". It matches the Rfam family "Bacterial small subunit ribosomal RNA", at positions 355 to 776 of the family's 1533-position model. Lineage: Bacteria; Pseudomonadati; Bacteroidota. The record is from RNAcentral.